This 69-nucleotide transfer RNA is filed under the name uncultured Solirubrobacteraceae bacterium. RNAcentral's name for it is "tRNA-Pseudo-CAT". It matches the Rfam family "tRNA", at positions 11 to 71 of the family's 71-position model. Rfam says of the family: Transfer RNA (tRNA) molecules are approximately 80 nucleotides in length. The record is from RNAcentral. Lineage: Bacteria; Bacillati; Actinomycetota; Thermoleophilia; Solirubrobacterales; Solirubrobacteraceae.
CGCAGCGUUCAGCGGCUGCUCGUCGGGCUCAUAACCCGAAGGUCGCAGGUUCGAAUCCUGCCCCCGCUA